Molecule: ribosomal RNA, 253 nt
Filed under: uncultured bacterium
Lineage: Bacteria
Description: partial 16S ribosomal RNA
Rfam family: Bacterial small subunit ribosomal RNA
Source: RNAcentral
UACAGAGGUCUCAAGCGUUGUUCGGAUUCAUUGGGCGUAAAGGGUGCGUAGGUGGCAGGGUAAGUCGGAUGUGAAAUCCCGGGGCUCAACCUCGGAACUGCAUUCGAUACUGCUUUGCUUGAGUACUGGAGAGGAGAUUGGAAUUUACGGUGUAGCAGUGAAAUGCGUAGAGAUCCGGAAGAACACCGGUGGCGAAGGCGGCCUGCUGGGCAGUUGCUGACACUGAGGCGCGACAGCGUGGGGAGCAAACAGG